UACGGGAGGCAGCAGUGGGGAAUAUUGCGCAAUGGGCGAAAGCCUGACGCAGCGACGCCGCGUGAGGGAUGAAGGUUUUCGGAUCGUAAACCUCUGUCAGAAGGGAAGAAACUACGUUGUGCUAAUCAGCAGCGUACUGACGGUACUCAAAGAGACCCAUCGGAC
This 165-nucleotide ribosomal RNA is filed under the name uncultured delta proteobacterium. RNAcentral's name for it is "partial 16S ribosomal RNA". It matches the Rfam family "Bacterial small subunit ribosomal RNA", at positions 340 to 501 of the family's 1533-position model. The record is from RNAcentral. Lineage: Bacteria; Deltaproteobacteria.